RNAcentral lists this long non-coding RNA (387 nucleotides) under Felis catus (domestic cat). RNAcentral describes it as "lncRNA (ENSFCAG00000052005.1)". Lineage: Eukaryota; Metazoa; Chordata; Mammalia; Carnivora; Felidae. The record is from RNAcentral.
GUUCAUGAGAUGCUGAAACUUUCUACUUCUUCUCACUACAACAGUGACGUCCUUUGUUGAAGGACUAAAGCUGUCUUAUAUAAUAAGAAGUUGCAAAGCAAUAUGGCUUAUGGGUUGCCUGGGAAUUGGAUGCAAAGAUGAAAAUAUCCGAGUAGCUUUCUCCCAACAUUCUACUUGGUCAUUAACCAACUAUCCGAGUACAGAGCUGCUCCUGAUUAACCCUGAAGACCUCGACAGAAAGCUAACCUUGAUGAGACACAUCUCCAGAGAUAGUAGAAACACGAGAGAGACAGAAGGCAGAAGACAUGGAGAAGAUACAGAUCCAGGAGUACCAUUCUACUUUUCCAUGACUGCCCCUCCAACCUCUUGUUGGUUUCCCAGGCCAGU